Molecule: ribosomal RNA, 481 nt
Filed under: uncultured bacterium
Lineage: Bacteria
Description: bacterial SSU rRNA
Rfam family: Bacterial small subunit ribosomal RNA
Source: RNAcentral
AUUGAACGCUGGCGGCAGGCCUAACACAUGCAAGUCGAGCGAGAAAGGUUUUCGGACUGAGUACAGCGGCGGACGGGUGAGUAACGCGUAGGAAUCUACCCAGUAGUGGGGGACAACUUAGGGAAACUUAAGCUAAUACCGCAUACGCCCUGAGGGGGAAAGCGGGGGAUCUUCGGACCUCGCGCUAUUGGAAGAGCCUGCGUUAGAUUAGCUAGUUGGUGGGGUAAAGGCUCACCAAGGCGACGAUCUAUAGCUGGUCUGAGAGGAUGAUCAGCCACACUGGGACUGAGACACGGCCCAGACUCCUACGGGAGGCAGCAGUGGGGAAUAUUGCGCAAUGGGCGAAAGCCUGACGCAGCCAUGCCGCGUGUGUGAAGAAGGCCUUAGGGUUGUAAAGCACUUUCAAUUGGGAGGAAGGGGUUAAAGUUAAUAGCUUUGACUUUUGACGUUACCUUUAGAAGAAGCACCGGCUAACUCCGUG